Molecule: ribosomal RNA, 463 nt
Filed under: uncultured bacterium
Lineage: Bacteria
Description: partial 16S ribosomal RNA
Rfam family: Bacterial small subunit ribosomal RNA
Source: RNAcentral
GACGAACGCUGGCGGCGUGCUUAACACAUGCAAGUCGAACGGAAAGGCCUUUUAGGAGGUACUCGAGUGGCGAACGGGUGAGUAACACGUGGGUGAUCUGCCCUGCACUCUGGGAUAAGCCUGGGAAACUGGGUCUAAUACCGGAUAGGACCGCACUUUAGUGUGUGUGGUGGAAAGUCUUUUCGGUGUAGGAUGAGCCCGCGGCCUAUCAGCUUGUUGGUGGGGUAAUGGCCUACCAAGGCGGCGACGGGUAGCCGGACUGAGAGGUUGGUCGGCCACAUUGGGACUGAGAUGCGGCCCAGACUCCGACGGGAGGCAGAAGUGGGGAAGAUUGCACAAUGGGCGCAAGCCUGACGCAGCGACGCCGCGUGGGGGAUGACGGCCUUCGGGUUGUAAACUCCUUUCGCCAGGGACGAAGCGUUUUGUGACGGUACCUGGAGAAGAAGCACCGGCUAACUACGUG